This 149-nucleotide non-coding RNA is filed under the name Glossina brevipalpis. Its description in RNAcentral is "eukaryotic large subunit ribosomal RNA". It matches the Rfam family "Eukaryotic large subunit ribosomal RNA", at positions 2829 to 2984 of the family's 3401-position model. Lineage: Eukaryota; Metazoa; Arthropoda; Insecta; Diptera; Glossinidae. The record is from RNAcentral.
ACCAGCUUUUGGCGCCCAAGUAGCGACGUCGCUUUUUGAUCCUUCGAUGUCGGCUCUUCCUAUCAUUGUGAAGCAAAAUUCACCAAGCGUUGGAUUGUUCACCCAUGCAAGGGAACGUGAGCUGGGUUUAGACCGUCGUGAGACAGGUU